Potamilus streckersoni is the source of this 77-nucleotide non-coding RNA. The record is from the annotation of a GenBank genome assembly. Lineage: Eukaryota; Metazoa; Mollusca; Bivalvia; Unionida; Unionidae.
GACUGCACUGGUGGCCUUGUGGUUAGACCAUCUGCUUCGAAUGCAGGAGGUUGCAGGUUCAAACCCUGAGCAAAUCA